This is a long non-coding RNA of Ctenocephalides felis (cat flea), 600 nucleotides long. RefSeq lists it as uncharacterized. The transcript has 4 exons. NCBI's taxonomy places the organism in Eukaryota, Metazoa, Arthropoda, Insecta, Siphonaptera, Pulicidae. The record is from RefSeq and is a predicted model, not a curated record.
AAUGACAUCGUUGAAUUUCAUGUGAGAUACAUGUCGUGCGCUGGUGUGUGUUAGCACACAUGCAAAGCAUAAUCAAUGACGUCACACGGCGUGAAGCAAACGCGUCGUGCGCUGCGUUGUGUGCGUUGUGUGCUGGUGUGUGUGACCAUACAAAGAAAGCUUUACAUCAGCGCGCCGUGGCCACUGGUGGAACCGACUGUUUCUUUGACGAAAGCUAACCUAACCGCGACAACCGCGUACAAAAUGGCGCAAAAUGUCACGAAUUUAUCAUGCAUCAAGUUAUAUUUUCUUUAGUAUAAUAAUUACAUUCGUUUAGUUAAGCAACUUGUUUAUGAUAAUUGUAGAAAAGUGUAGAAAAAUGACACCUGCAUUAUAUCCUGGGAUGAAGAAACGUUAUUUUAUGUCGAUUUCUUUAGAUGACAAAGGAGGUAACCAAAUAGCAUAUCUUACAAAAUCUGAGGACAAUAAUAAGGAUCGUUUAGCAAGUCGGUUGAGAAGCGGAUCGAGAAUGAUUGUUUGAAUAUAAGUCGUACAAAAUUGGAAUGAAACGAUGAACAAUAUACAGAUCUUUAGACAGGCUCAAAUAUGUAUGUUUAGGAG